AGCAUGUCAGUCUGAGUGUUGGUU
Molecule: ribosomal RNA, 24 nt
Filed under: Eunicella cavolini
Lineage: Eukaryota; Metazoa; Cnidaria; Anthozoa; Malacalcyonacea; Eunicellidae
Description: Eunicella cavolinii partial 5.8S ribosomal RNA
Source: RNAcentral